ACGCAGGCGGUCUGUCAAGUCGGAGGUGAAAUCCCCGGGCUCAACCUGGGAACUGCAUUCGAAACUGGCAGGCUUGAGUCUUGUAGAGGGGGGUAGAAUUCCAGGUGUAGCGGUGAAAUGCGUAGAGAUCUGGAGGAAUACCGGUGGCGAAGGCGGCCCCCUGGACAAAGACUGACGCUCAGGUGCGAAAGCGUGGGGAGCAAACAGGAUUAGAUACCCUGGUAGUCCACGCCGUAAACGAUGUCUACUUGGAGGUUGUGCCCUUGAGGCGUGGCUUCCGGAGCUAACGCGUUAAGUAGACCGCCUGGGGAGUACGGCCGCAAGGUUAAAACUCAAAUGAAUUGACGGGGGCCCGCACAAGCGGUGGAGCAUGUGGUUUAAUUCGAUGCAACGCGAAGAACCUUACCUGGUCUUGACAUCCACAGAACUUUCCA
This 434-nucleotide ribosomal RNA is filed under the name Salmonella enterica subsp. enterica. RNAcentral describes it as "bacterial SSU rRNA". It matches the Rfam family "Bacterial small subunit ribosomal RNA", at positions 569 to 1002 of the family's 1533-position model. The record is from RNAcentral. Lineage: Bacteria; Pseudomonadati; Pseudomonadota; Gammaproteobacteria; Enterobacterales; Enterobacteriaceae.